CCUACGGGCGGCAGCAGUGAGGAAUAUUGGGCAAUGGGCGCGAGCCUGAACCAGCCAAGUAGCGUGAAGGAUGAAUGCACUAAGGGUUGUAAACUUCUUUUAUAAAGGAAUAAAGAGAGGCACGUGUGCCCUUUUGUAUGUACUUGAAGAAUAAGGAUCGGCUAACUCCGUGCCAGCAGCCGCGGUAAUACGGAGGAUCCGAGCGUUAUCCGGAUUUAUUGGGUUUAAAGGGAGCGUAGAUGGGUUGUUAAGUCAGUUGUGAAAGUUUGCGGCUCAACCGUAAAAUUGCAAUUGAUACUGGCAGUCUUGAGUUCAGUUGAGGUAGGCGGAAUUCGUGGUGUAGCGGUGAAAUGCUUAGAUAUCACGAAGAACUCCGAUUGCGAAGGCAGCUUACUAGCCUGCCACUGACAUUGAGGCUCGAAAGUGUGGGUAUCAAACAGGAUUAGAUACCCUUGUAGUC
RNAcentral lists this ribosomal RNA (460 nucleotides) under uncultured bacterium. RNAcentral's name for it is "partial 16S ribosomal RNA". It matches the Rfam family "Bacterial small subunit ribosomal RNA", at positions 338 to 795 of the family's 1533-position model. The record is from RNAcentral.